UGUAGCAGCCAUAUCACCCUGCAGCCCACUGGUUGCCCACUGAAGCUAAGCAGGGUUGAGCCUGGUCAGUACCUGGAUGGGAGACCUCCUGGGAAAACUAGGUUGCUGCUGGAA
RNAcentral lists this ribosomal RNA (114 nucleotides) under Sinocyclocheilus anshuiensis. The record is from RNAcentral. Lineage: Eukaryota; Metazoa; Chordata; Actinopteri; Cypriniformes; Cyprinidae.